Molecule: long non-coding RNA, 564 nt
Organism: Lolium rigidum
Lineage: Eukaryota; Viridiplantae; Streptophyta; Magnoliopsida; Poales; Poaceae
Exons: 2
Source: RefSeq, a predicted model, not a curated record
ACCCAAAAAAAUCCCCUCGCUCUGGCUCCUGCUCAGCGAGCCGCCACUGACCGGCCUCCCGCCGGGCACCCCGUCUUCCUCGCAUCGCCGGACUACAUGCUGAGCCACCCUGACGAGCCAUCCGCUAAUCCCAUCCAGAUCUAAUCAUGGAAAACUUAGCAGAUUUGUCAUGUUUCUCUAAGUUGGAUUGGAUUCGUGGAUUUGUUGCAUUCCUUCAGAGGCAUGGUUGCUUUCUCCUCAUGGAAGCCAGCGUCUUCAAGAAGAUGGCAUGGGCAUCGCCAAUGGUGGCCAUGACUAGCAGUCAAUAUUCGCGUCCAGCCGCCAAAAGCCACACCCACUACUUCGUCUAUAGUAUAGCUGAAUCAGGCAUGUGUUAGAUUGUUUGUAGUUGUAAGCGGUGCUGCUGUCAUAAAAGUAUGCAUGGUGAAUUGGUGAUCAAAGGAUUAGUAUCAGACUAGCAGUAAGAUUUGGCUGGCGUUGACUAAUGUUAACAUGCAUUUUUAUUUUGUCUGGUCUUGCUUAAUUUUUGUUUCGACGGGUAUACUGAUUCGAUUAAAAAAUAAU